RNAcentral lists this ribosomal RNA (307 nucleotides) under uncultured eukaryote. Its description in RNAcentral is "partial 18S ribosomal RNA". It matches the Rfam family "Eukaryotic small subunit ribosomal RNA", at positions 1470 to 1796 of the family's 1831-position model. The record is from RNAcentral.
CCCUUAGACGUUCUGGGCCGCACGCGCGCUACACUGACAAAGGCAACGAGCUACUCUUCACCGAAAGGUGUGGGUAAUCUUUUGAAACUUUGUCGUGCUGGGGAUAGAUCCUUGCAAUUUUUGAUCUUAAACGAGGAAUUCCUAGUAAGCGCAAGUCACCAACUUGCGUUGAUUACGUCCCUGCCCUUUGUACACACCGCCCGUCGCUACUACCGAUUGAAUGGUUUAGUGAGGCCUUCGGAUCCGCGACUCGUUUGUGGAGAAGUUGGACAAACUCAGUCAUUUAGAGGAAGUAAAAGUCGUAACA